Molecule: ribosomal RNA, 468 nt
Filed under: uncultured bacterium
Lineage: Bacteria
Description: partial 16S ribosomal RNA
Rfam family: Bacterial small subunit ribosomal RNA
Source: RNAcentral
GACGAACGCUGGCGGCGUGCUUAACACAUGCAAGUCGAACGGAAAGGCCCUGCUUUUGUGGGGUGCUCGAGUGGCGAACGGGUGAGUAACACGUGAGUAACCUGCCCUUGACUUUGGGAUAACUUCAGGAAACUGGGGCUAAUACCGGAUAGGAGCUCCUGCUGCAUGGUGGGGGUUGGAAAGUUUCGGCGGUUGGGGAUGGACUCGCGGCUUAUCAGCUUGUUGGUGGGGUAGUGGCUUACCAAGGCUUUGACGGGUAGCCGGCCUGAGAGGGUGACCGGCCACAUUGGGACUGAGCUACGGCCCAGACUCCUACGGGAGGCAGCAGUGGGGAAUAUUGCACAAUGGGCGGACGCCUGAUGCAGCAACGCCGCGUGCGGGAUGACGGCCUUCGGGUUGUAAACCGCUUUCGCCUGUGACGAAGCGUGAGUGACGGUAAUGGGUAAAGAAGCACCGGCUAACUACGUG